AACGAACGCUGGCGGCAUGCCUAACACAUGCAAGUCGAACGAGACCUUCGGGUCUAGUGGCGCACGGGUGCGUAACGCGUGGGAACCUGCCCUUAGGUUCGGAAUAACUCCCCGAAAGGGGUGCUAAUACCGGAUAAUGUCUUCGGACCAAAGAUUUAUCGCCUUUGGAUGGGCCCGCGUUGGAUUAGCUAGUUGGUAGGGUAAAAGCCUACCAAGGCGACGAUCCAUAGCUGGUCUGAGAGGAUGAUCAGCCACACUGGGACUGAGACACGGCCCAGACUCGUCCGGGAGGCAGCAGGGGGGAAUGUUGGACAAUGGGCGAGAGACUGAGACAGCAAUGCCGCGUGAGUGAUGAAGGCCUUAGGGUUGUAAAGCUCUUUUACCCGGGAUGAUAAUGACAGUACCGGGAGAAUAAGCGCCGGCUAGCUUCGUG
This 433-nucleotide ribosomal RNA is filed under the name uncultured bacterium. RNAcentral describes it as "partial 16S ribosomal RNA". It matches the Rfam family "Bacterial small subunit ribosomal RNA", at positions 29 to 507 of the family's 1533-position model. The record is from RNAcentral.